AUAACCGGGGCCGGAGGGGUGUGGCCUGGACCCAGGAAGUGGCGGUGCUGCUCGGGGACGUGGCGGUGCGGCUGCUGCAGGGCAAAGAGGUCACGGUGAGCAAAGCUGAGGACCCAGGGAUGGUCGGUCCCGUGCUUUCCGCUGUCCCGACGUCGGCCCUCCUCCUGCCUCCCUCCUCCAGGUGGACGGGCGCCCUGUGGCCUUGCCCUUUCUGCAGGAGCCGCUGCUGUACGUGGAGUUACGGAGACGCACCGUGAUCCUGCACGCCCAGCCCGGGCUCCAGGUGCGGCGCAAGGGCCAGUGGGGGUGUGGGAGCCUUGGACCUGUUCAGGCCUCUGUCUGUAGAGGGAGUGGGAAUACCAGCUGGGUCCCGUGCCAAAUCAGGCCAGUGAGGUCAGAAAGUUCUGCUGGAUUCUGAGGGGGAGGAAAGGAAUCAUGGUCGGAGACCUUGGGUGCAGGGAAGGGAGGUCUGAGCCUGGUUUCUAAUCUUGAUUCAGUCACCAACGCAGUGGGACUCUUAGGCCAGUACCAACCCUCUCUGGGCCUGUUUUCUUAUUGGUAAAAAGGGGGAACAAUUCAGGGGAUGCCAACUAAGGUCUACGUGGUUUCUGAAAUUCCUUCCAAAUCCCAUGUCGAAGAGUAAAUUUCUCCCUGCCUUCGGCAAGAAGUACAAUUUGUAAAUGCCUAAAACAAGUCUCAUCGAUACUUCUGAUCUGGACUCUAAUCGUGCUUCAUCCUCUCUAAGGCCCUAAUGCCCAUGAGAAAGUGAAUCUCUGAAGCAUUUCACCAGGGGGCCCAGUUCAGGGGUGCCGAUGGGAGAAGGUGCCCUCCUGCCGGAGCUGUGGGCAGCUCUUCAUGUCUUCUGUGUGUGCCCAGGACUCACAGAGCAUGUGCCAACUUGGCUUUGGCCAGGGCAGCCUCCUUUCCACGGGGAACCUCUACCCGCCCAUUCUCCUCCCCCACAGCGUGGAGUGUGCUGACAGUGCAUGGGGCCAGGGUGGACCCUGGGCUUCUGGGGGUCCCUACCUUUCCCCAUUCCCCGAUUCCAACCUCUCUGCCCAGGUGCUGUGGGAUGGGCAGUCUCAGGUGGAGGUGAGCGUGCCCAGCUCCUACAGGGGCCAGAUGUGUGGGCUCUGUGGGAACUUCAAUGGCUUUGCCCAGGAUGAUCUGCAGGGCCCUGAGGGGUUGCUCCUGCCCACAGAGGCUGCAUUUGGGAAUAGCUGGCAGGUGAGUGGCACAGGAGCCGGGUGGCUGAGUGUGAUCAUAGAGCAGCCCUCUUAUAUGGAAAGGGGGGUGGGCACGAGAUGGGCUUUGCAGCUUCAGGGUGAUUUGGGGGCUUCUUGCUUCUGUCGUGGUGCUGGGGGAGGCAGCGUGGCCUGUUGAAUGAGGCCUCAUCAUCCGAAUCCGCAAGCCCUGCCUUGCCACUCACUGGCUGUGUGACCUUGGGUGAGUCACUUAACCUGUUCUGGGCCUUAGCUUGUCCAGCUGUAAAAUGGGGACAAGGAGAAAGUAGCUGGUGCUUCCUUUGCUAUUCUUGUCGGGAGAUUUUUGGAGCUAAACCAAAAUAUUUAGUGGAAAGUGUUUUUGAAGCACGUAGCACACAGAGAUCAGCCGCCAGUGGAUGCUGUGACAUCAGGGUCACUCUUGCCACCUAGGUCCCAGAAGGGCCGGGACCCAGUCGGAUAUGUUCCAAGGGCCGCGAGGUGGAUCCGUGCAGGGCAGCGGGUUACCGUGCCAGGCGUGAGGCCAACGCCCGGUGUGGUGUGCUUAAGUCCUCCCCGUUCAGUCGCUGCCACUCUGUGGUGCCACCAGAGCCCUUCUUUGCCGCCUGCGUGUAUGACCUAUGUGCUUGUGGCCCCGGCUCUUUGGCUGACGCCUGCCUCUGUGAUGCCCUGGAAGCCUAUGCCAGUCACUGUCGCCAGGCAGGGGUGACACCUGCCUGGCGGGGCCCCACACUCUGCGGUGAGGGGGAAAUGCCCAGCGCGAGUUGGGGAAGAGGGUGAGCAGGGCACCUGGAGCGCUGCCAGGGUGCCCCUGUGACCCUGCCUUCCGCUCCACCUGCAGUGGUGGGCUGUCCCCUGGACCGCGGCUUCGUGUUCGAUGAGUGUGGCCCGCCCUGUCCCCGCACCUGCUUCAACCAGCACAUCCCCCUGGGGGAACUGGCCGCCCACUGUGUGAGGCCCUGCGUUCCUGGCUGCCAGUGCCCCGCGGGCCUGGUGGAGCACGAGGCCCACUGUAUCUCACCCGAGGCCUGCCCCGCAGUCCAGCUCACUGGGGACCAGCCACCCAGGCCUCCGCCCAGCCCUGGCCAGUAGCCAGGACACCAGGACUCAUCAGGUCAGAAGCCUCUCCUCUGAGAACAGCUCCCACCCUGGCCAGAGCCAUGGAAAGAGUACCCCACCCAGGCAUGGGGUCCUGUGUCCCACAAAGACCUCAUCGUGUUCAAUCAGAAGCAGUAAAAUCGGGGCCUCUCCUACAGCUUACUUGUGUCUAUGUGUCUUUUCUGCUGGUGCUGGGAUGGUGGGGGCUUGGAAUAUGGGGUACAGCAGCGGUUAGUGUCCCCAGGAUCAGAGAGGUGGCAGCUGUGGGAGCUGAGCCUUCACUUCUUGCACUUACCGUACCCUGGUGUUGCCUGGGAAACCCUGCAAUGGAAGGAGGACCUAGGUAUCCUGGUCCCAGCUCCGUGCUCACACUAUGUCACAAGCAUAGCCCAUGGUCCCCACAUUGGUACCUCUGUGGAUCCAUGUGGAAUCCUGUUAGGAGGCUGAGGGGCACGGAGAAGGGGCUCAGUUUCCCCACAUGGCAUUCCCUUUCCUCUUGAUUUGGGGAAUACCAAAGGCUAGGCACCUCCUGGGCUACUCUAACAGCUGGUGACAUAGGGACCCCAUGCCUGGGGUGGGGAACAGAAGACACAACAGACUGUGAUGAAAUAUGGACACACGUGCACGCACACACACACACACACACACACACACACACCUCAGAAACCCAGAUAAACAUGCGCGGCACAUGCAUGGGCCCAUGUGUGCAUUCACAGCCACACCCACCCUGGACGGACAUGUGAGCAGGAGACAUCCUUGUAGGGAAAGGAGCAUGGUUUUUGAAAUAGACAAAAAGUCUAUUUCCUUGAAAAGUCUGUCUUCGAAAAGAACUCUAGUUUUUUUUGGCUGUGACCUUGGUGUUUUAGGAACCUUGGCUAAAAGAUCGGGGUGGGAGGGUCCUCCAUUCUCAUUGCCAGGUCCCUAAUCUUUCAACAGGAGUGAAGAGAGAGUGUUGGGCUAAACUGAGAUGGCCUGCCCUGCGAGCUUAGCCCACUUCUGCUGAGGCCCACCGGAGAGAGGUGGCCUCUUUCUCUCGCAGAGCCGUUUCAAAGCAGCAGGCACGCAAGGCUGCUCGUGACAGCACAGCGUGUGAACGUCACAGACCAGCUCGUGUGUUUGCACCUCCCCUCGUUAUGACCUGUACAAACCGUGUCCUCGCCUGAUGCAUCUCGCAUGUUGUGAGGAGUAAACAGAGUGACCUGUGGCCAGCACUUUGCACGUGGACAGCUUGGAACAAGCCCUUGGGAAGUGCUCACCGUCGCCCGGCCCGUGGCUGCUUGCGCCUGGGACCGUGUUUACCCCAAGCCUGUUUAUCACGGCCAUUUGCCUCCAGAUGAGGGGGACGUUGCCACAUGUUAGCUAGGGCAGUUUACUGUCUAGGCUGUUUUCUAAUCUGUAAAAUUGGGAUAACGAUAGCACCUACUUCUCGGAGUUGCUUCAAGGACGGAUUACUUGUAUGUAGCAUUUUGUUUCCUGCAGAUAGUAAGCUGUUGGUAGCCGCUGUUCGUAUUGGGCAAAUUACGUGUGGCUAUAAUGCAGUUGCAAGCUUCACAUGUAUACGUAAAACACGUACCCGGUCAGGAUUGCAAACAAGCAUAUGCAGACACCUCUCCCUCACACUGCCAUCCCCCACAGCCAGGAAACCCAUAUCGGAGGCGGGCCAGAGUCUCUGUGAGACUUGGCUGGGUCCGGGCCCUGGCUCAGAUGUCAGGUCCCUGCAUUAUUGAGCUCAGGAGCCUUUGUCUCCUCCUCAUUCCUGGUCCUCCCUUCUCCACGCUCCAGCAGCAGAGGAGAGGAGGGAGGGGACAUCUGCCCUGGCUCCCCAACCCCAUGGAACAGGCAGCCGCCCCUGGCGGCCGAGGGCUCCCCUGUAGCCAAAAGCAGGCCUUAGCUCUGUACCAGCACCUCUUUAGAUGCCCUGCGGGCCUGGGCCCACUCCAGGCUGCGCUGCAGCAGGUGAGGGAGGUGGGGCAUUGUCUCCAAAGGGCACGGUGGAGGCCUGAUGCCAUCUUGUCCCCCCAGGUGCAAGAGAGUCGGGCCUGUCCCUCGGGACUGGAGCUGCCCGCUGUGUUGCUGGAGAUGGAGCGGAGCCGGCGGGCCCAGGAACAGGUAGGGGCUGGCCGAGGGGCAUGGCAGAGGGCAGUGUGGGCACCCCUUCAUGCUCUGGCAAUGCGUCUUUUUGUAGCUCCUGUGGGACUUGGAGCUGCUGACUGGGGCGGGGCUGGGCCUCUUCUGGCCCCCCCGGGCCCAGUUCUGCGGUCUGAGGGACCGGGCCCAGUGUGCAUGGAGCCAGCGCAGCAAGCCCCGUGGUAGGAUGGGUAGGGGCCCCGAGCAGCCGAACAGCUGGGUGAGCAGGGGCAUGGCUGAAGGCAAGGGGGUCAGUGUGACGUCAGGGUGAUUGUGGUGGGGAGGAAGGUGAAUGGGGUGUGGGCUUUGGGCACAUAUGGACCUGGGUUGGGUCUCUGUUUUGACGCUCCCCGUGGACUGUAAGCCUCUGUUUUCUUAGCUGCAAAAUGGGGACGA
This 4844-nucleotide long non-coding RNA is filed under the name Lynx pardinus (Iberian lynx). Lineage: Eukaryota; Metazoa; Chordata; Mammalia; Carnivora; Felidae. The record is from RNAcentral.